GAUGAACGCUGGCGGCGUGCCUAAUACAUGCCAGUCGAGCGAACGGACGAGAAGCUUGCUUUUCUGAUGUUAGCGGCGGACGGGUGAGUAACACGUGGAUAACCUACCUAUAAGACUGGGAUAACUUCGGGAAACCGGAGCUAAUACCGGAUAAUAUUUUGAACCGCAUGGUUCAAAAGUGAAAGACGGUCUUGCUGUCACUUAUAGAUGGAUCCGCGCUGCAUUAGCUAGUUGGUAAGGUAACGGCUUACCAAGGCAACGAUGCAUAGCCGACCUGAGAGGGUGAUCGGCCACACUGGAACUGAGACACGGUCCAGACUCCUACGGGAGGCAGCAGUAGGGAAUCUUCCGCAAUGGGCGAAAGCCUGACGGAGCAACGCCGCGUGAGUGAUGAAGGUCUUCGGAUCGUAAAACUCUGUUAUUAGGGAAGAACAUAUGUGUAAGUAACUGUGCACAUCUUGACGGUACCUAAUCAGAAAGCAACGGCUAACUACGUG
This 497-nucleotide ribosomal RNA is filed under the name uncultured bacterium. RNAcentral describes it as "partial 16S ribosomal RNA". It matches the Rfam family "Bacterial small subunit ribosomal RNA", at positions 28 to 507 of the family's 1533-position model. The record is from RNAcentral.